UACAGAGGUCCCAAGCGUUGUUCGGAUUUAUUGGGCGUAAAGGGUGCGUAGGCGGCGGAGUAAGUUGGGUGUGAAAUCCCGGGGCUCAACCUCGGAAUUGCAUUCAAUACUGCUUCGCUUGAGCACUGGAGAGGAGGCUGGAAUUUACGGUGUAGCAGUGAAAUGCGUAGAUAUCGUAAGGAAGGCCGGUGGCGAAAGCGAGCCUCUGGACAGUUGCUGGCGCUGAUGCACGAAGGCCAGGGGAGCAAACGGG
Molecule: ribosomal RNA, 253 nt
Filed under: uncultured bacterium
Lineage: Bacteria
Description: partial 16S ribosomal RNA
Rfam family: Bacterial small subunit ribosomal RNA
Source: RNAcentral